AUUGAACGCUGGCGGCAGGCCUAACACAUGCAAGUCGAGCGGUAGCACAGAGAGCUUGCUCUCGGGUGACGAGCGGCGGACGGGUGAGUAAUGUCUGGGAAACUGCCUGAUGGAGGGGGAUAACUACUGGAAACGGUAGCUAAUACCGCAUAACGUCGCAAGACCAAAGUGGGGGACCUUCGGGCCUCAUGCCAUCAGAUGUGCCCAGAUGGGAUUAGCUAGUAGGUGGGGUAACGGCUCACCUAGGCGACGAUCCCUAGCUGGUCUGAGAGGAUGACCAGCCACACUGGAACUGAGACACGGUCCAGACUCCUACGGGAGGCAGCAGUGGGGAAUAUUGCACAAUGGGCGCAAGCCUGAUGCAGCCAUGCCGCGUGUGUGAAGAAGGCCUUCGGGUUGUAAAGCACUUUCAGCGGGGAGGAAGGCGUUAAGGUUAAUAACCUUGGCGAUUGACGUUACCCGCAGAAGAAGCACCGGCUAACUCCGUGCCAGCAGCCGCGGUAAUACGGAGGGUGCAAGCGUUAAUCGGAAUUACUGGGCGUAAAGCGCACGCAGGCGGUCUGUCAAGUCGGAUGUGAAAUCCCCGGGCUCAACCUGGGAACUGCAUUCGAAACUGGCAGGCUAGAGUCUUGUAGAGGGGGGUAGAAUUCCAGGUGUAGCGGUGAAAUGCGUAGAGAUCUGGAGGAAUACCGGUGGCGAAGGCGGCCCCCUGGACAAAGACUGACGCUCAGGUGCGAAAGCGUGGGGAGCAAACAGGAUUAGAUACCCUGGUAGUCCACGCCGUAAACGAUGUCGAUUUGGAGGUUGUGCCCUUGAGGCGUGGCUUCCGGAGCUAACGCGUUAAAUCGACCGCCUGGGGAGUACGGCCGCAAGGUUAAAACUCAAAUGAAUUGACGGGGGCCCGCACAAGCGGUGGAGCAUGUGGUUUAAUUCGAUGCAACGCGAAGAACCUUACCUGGUCUUGACAUCCACAGAACUUUCCAGAGAUGGAUUGGUGCCUUCGGGAACUGUGAGACAGGUGCUGCAUGGCUGUCGUCAGCUCGUGUUGUGAAAUGUUGGGUUAAGUCCCGCAACGAGCGCAACCCUUAUCCUUGGUUGCCAGCGGUUAGGCCGGGAACUCAAAGGAGACUGCCAGUGAUAAACUGGAGGAAGGUGGGGAUGACGUCAAGUCAUCAUGGCCCUUACGACCAGGGCUACACACGUGCUACAAUGGCAUAUACAAAGAGAAGCGACCUCGCGAGAGCAAGCGGACCUCAUAAAGUAUGUCGUAGUCCGGAUUGGAGUCUGCAACUCGACUCCAUGAAGUCGGAAUCGCUAGUAAUCGUAGAUCAGAAUGCUACGGUGAAUACGUUCCCGGGCCU
RNAcentral lists this ribosomal RNA (1361 nucleotides) under uncultured bacterium. RNAcentral's name for it is "bacterial SSU rRNA". It matches the Rfam family "Bacterial small subunit ribosomal RNA", at positions 28 to 1381 of the family's 1533-position model. The record is from RNAcentral.